This 425-nucleotide ribosomal RNA is filed under the name uncultured bacterium. Its description in RNAcentral is "partial 16S ribosomal RNA". It matches the Rfam family "Bacterial small subunit ribosomal RNA", at positions 354 to 796 of the family's 1533-position model. The record is from RNAcentral.
GUGGGGAAUAUUGGGCAAUGGGCGAAAGCCUGACCCAGCAACGCCGCGUGAAGGAAGAAGGUUUUCGGAUCGUAAACUUCUAUCCUUGGUGAAGAUAAUGACUGUACCCCAAGAAGAAGCCCCGGCUAACUACGUGCCAGCAGCCGCGGUAAUACGUAGGGGGCAAGCGUUGUCCGGAAUGAUUGGGCGUAAAGGGCGCGUAGGCGGCCUGGUAAGUCUGGAGUGAAAGUCCUGCUUUUAAGGUAGGAAUUGCUUUGGAUACUGUCGGGCUUGAGUGCAGGAGAGGUAAGUGGAAUUCCCGGUGUAGCGGUGAAAUGCGUAGAGAUCGGGAGGAACACCAGUGGCGAAGGCGACUUACUGGACUGUAACUGACGCUGAGGCGCGAAAGUGUGGGGAGCAAACAGGAUUAGAUACCCUAGUAGUCC